Molecule: long non-coding RNA, 232 nt
Organism: Mobula hypostoma (lesser devil ray)
Lineage: Eukaryota; Metazoa; Chordata; Chondrichthyes; Myliobatiformes; Myliobatidae
Exons: 3
Source: RefSeq, a predicted model, not a curated record
GAACAAGCAAUGUUGCUUAUUUGAUAUAUCACGUGGCAGUGGAUGGUGUAAAUGAGCAAGGACAGCAGUGAUGAAAGGACAUCCCAGGAGAAGCACACUGGACCCAUAAAAGGAGGUGCCAGCCUGCUGAAACAGUUCCACAGUCAUGCUCAACAGUGGUGCAGCCUGACCUGCUGAGUUCCUCUCCUAUUUCCUUUGUGUUGCUCAACAUUUCACCAAGCAUGGCAUCAAG